AGAACGAACGCUGGCGGCGUGGAUAAGACAUGCAAGUCGAGCGCUGGUUUUCCUGUAGCAAUAUAGGGAAGCCGGAGCGGCGCAAGGGUGCGUAACACGUGGGUCAUCUGCCCUGAAGUUCGGAAUAAUUCCGCGAAAGCGGGACUAAUGCCGGAUGUGGACGAGAGUACUAAAGCUGGAACCGCAAGGUCUGGCGUCUUUUGGAUGACGCCCGCGGCCUAUCAGCUAGUUGGCGGGGUAACGGCCCACCAAGGCUAAGACGGGUAGCUGGUCUGAGAGGACGACCAGCCUCACGUGGAACUGAGACACGGUCCAGACCACCGUACGGGUGGCAGCAGUCGAGUAUUUUCACAAGUGGGACGAAAGCCGUAGGAACGGAGCGGACGCCGCGUGGAGGAG
This 399-nucleotide ribosomal RNA is filed under the name uncultured soil bacterium. Its description in RNAcentral is "bacterial SSU rRNA". It matches the Rfam family "Bacterial small subunit ribosomal RNA", at positions 26 to 409 of the family's 1533-position model. The record is from RNAcentral.